CCUACGGGAGGCAGCAGUGGGGAAUAUUGGGCAAUGGACGCAAGUCUGAUCCAGCAACGCCGCGUGAAGGAAGAAGGCUUUCGGGUUGUAAACUUCUUUUAAUGGGGAAGAAAAGAAGACGGUACCCCUUGAAUAAGCCACGGCUAACGACGUGCGAGCAGCCGCGGUAAUACGUAGGUGGCAAGCGCUGUCCGGAUUUACUGGGUGUAAAGGGCGUGCAGGCGGGAAGAAAAGGCAGAUGUGAAAUCCCGCGGCUCAACCGCGGAACUGCAUUUGAAACUGUUUUUCUUGAGUAUGGGAGAGGUAAGCGGAAUUCCUGGUGUAGCGGUGAAAUGCGUAGAUAUUAGGAAGAACACCAGUGGCGAAGGCGGAUUACUGGACGACAACUGACGCUGAGGCGCGAAAGCGUGGGUAGCAAACAGGAUUAGAUACCCUAGUAGUC
Molecule: ribosomal RNA, 442 nt
Filed under: uncultured bacterium
Lineage: Bacteria
Description: partial 16S ribosomal RNA
Rfam family: Bacterial small subunit ribosomal RNA
Source: RNAcentral